RNAcentral lists this ribosomal RNA (301 nucleotides) under uncultured bacterium. Its description in RNAcentral is "partial 16S ribosomal RNA". It matches the Rfam family "Bacterial small subunit ribosomal RNA", at positions 509 to 807 of the family's 1533-position model. The record is from RNAcentral.
CAGUAGCCGCGGGAAUACGAAGGGGGCUAGCGUUGCUCGGAAUUACUGGGCGUAAAGGGCGCGUAGGCGGACAGUUCAGUCGGGGGUGAAAGCCCGGGGCUCAACCUCGGAAUUGCCUUCGAUACUGGCUGUCUUGAGUAUGAGAGAGGUGUGUGGAACUCCGAGUGUAGAGGUGAAAUUCGUAGAUAUUCGGAAGAACACCAGUGGCGAAGGCGACACACUGGCUCAUUACUGACGCUGAGGCGCGAAAGCGUGGGGAGCAAACAGGAUUAGAGACCCCUGUAGUCCCUGUCUCUUAUAC